GCCUUGGUCGGGCGCGUGGGCGAAGUUCGUCCGCCGGACUCGGAAUGGAGCCAGACUUUGCGGGCGGCCUCCGUGUGCCAAAAAUAGGCCACGGGCACUGCCGCGCCCAAAAGUCAGCCCCCUUUCCGUCGGGGCGCCAAGACCCCCCAGCGGAAAAAUUGCCAAAAAACGGGUGGGCUAUAGCCUUGGUGGGGGGCUUGGGCGAAGUUCGUCCGCCGGACUCGGAAUGGCCCCAGACUUUGCGGGCGGCCUCCGUGUGCCAAAAAUAGGCCACGGGCACAGGCGCGCAAAAAAAUCAGCCCCCUUUCCGUCGGGGCGCCAAGACCCCCCGGCAGAGAAAUGGCCAAAAAACGGGUGGGCUAUAGCCUUCGUGGGGGGCGUGGGCGAAGUUUGUCCGCCGGACUCCGAAUGGCCUCAGACUUUGCGGGCGGCCUCCGUGUGCCAAAAAUAGGCCACGGGCACAGCCGCGCCCAAAAAUCAGCCCCCGAAGGUCGGCGGGCCAAGACCCCCCAGCGGAAAAAUGGCCAAAAAUCGGGUGGGCUAUAGCCUUCGUGGGGGGCGUGGGCGAAGUUCGUCCGCCGGAAUCGGAAUGGCCCCAGACUUUGCGGGCGGCCUAUGUGUGCCAAAAAUAGGCCACGGGCAAACCGCGCCCAAAAAUCAGUCCCCGAAGGUCGGGCCGCCAAGACCCCCCAGCGGAAAAAUGGCCAAAAAACGGGUGGGCUAUAGCCUUGGUGAGGGGCGUGGGCGAAGUUCGUCCGCCGGACUAGGAAUGGCCCCAGACUUUGCGGGCGGCCUACGUGUGCCAAAAAUAGGACACGGGCACAGCCGCUCCCAAAAAUCAGCCCCCGAAGGUCGGGGCGCCAAGAUCCCCCAGCGGAAAAAUGGCCAAAAAACGGGUGGGCUAUAGCCUUCGUGGGGGGCGUGGGCGAAGUUCGUCCGCCGGACUCGGAAUGGCCCCAGACUUUGCGGGCGGCCUCCGUGUGCCAAAACUAGGCCACGGGCACAGCCGCGCCUAAAAAUCAGCCCCCGAAGGUCGGGGGGCCAAGACCCCCCAGUGGAAAAAUGGCCUAAAAACGGGUGGGUUAUAGCCUUGGUGGGGGGCGUGGGCGAAGUUCGUCCGCCGGACUUGGAAUGGAGCCAGACUUUGCGGGCGGCCUCCGUGUGCCAAAAAUAGGCCACGGGCACAGCCGCGCCCAAAAAUCAACCUCCGAAAGUCGGGGCGCCAAGACCUCCCUGCGGAAAAAUGGCCAAAAAACGGGUGGGCUAUAGCCUUCGUGGGGGGCGUGGGCGAAGUUUGUCCGCCGGACUCGGAAUGGCCCCAGACUUUGCGGGCGGCCUCCGUGUGCCAAAAAUAGGCCACGGGCACAGCCGCGCCCAAAAAUCAGCACCCGAAGGUCGGGGCGCCAAGACCCCCCAGCGGAAAAAUGGCCAAAAAACAGGUGGGCUAUAGUCUUCGUGGGGGGCGUGGGCGAAGUUUGUCCGCCGGACUCGGAAUGGCCCCAGACUUUGCGGGCGGCCUCCGUGUGCCAAAAAUAGGCCACGGGCACAGCCGCGCCCAAAAAUCAGCCCCCGAAGGUCGGGGCGCCAAGACCCCCCAGCGGAAAAAUGGCCAAAAAACGGGUGGGCUAUAGUCUUCGUGGGGGCGUGGGCGAAGUUUGUCCGCCGGACUCGGAAUGGCCCCAGAUUUUGCGGGGCGGACUCCGUGUGCAAAAAAUAGGCCACGGGCACAGCCGCGCCCAAAAAAUCAGCCCCCGAAGUUCGGCGGGCCAAGACCCCCCAGCGGAAAAAUGGCCAAAAAUCGGGUGGGCUAUAGCCUUGCUGGGGGGCGUGGGCGAAGUUCGUCCGCCGGACUCCGAAUGGCCCCAGACUUUGCGGGCGGCCUCCGUGUGCCAAAAAUAGGCCACGGGAACAGCAGCGCCCAAAAAUCAGCCCCCGAAGGUCGGGAGGCCAAGACCCCCCAGCGGAAAAAUGGCCAAAAAACGGGUGGGCUAUAGCCUUGGUGGGGGGCGUGGGCGAAGUUCGUCCGCCGGACUCGGAAUGGCCCCAGACUUUGCGGGCGGCCUCCGUGUGCCAAAAAUAAGCCACGGGAACAGCCGCGCCCAAAAAUCAGCCCCCGAAGGUCGGGGCGCCAAGACCCCCCAGCGGAAAAAUGGCCAAAAAACGGGUGGGCUAUAGCCUUGGUGGGGGGCGUGGGCGAAGUUCGUCCGCCGGACUCGGAAUGGCCCCAGACUUUGCGGGCGGCCUACGUGUGCCAAAAAUAGGACACGGGCACAGCCGCGCCCAAAAAUCAGCCCCCGAAGGUCGGGCCGCCAAGACCCCCCAGCGGAAAAAUGGCCAAAAAACGGGUGGGCUAUAGCCUUCGUGGGGGGCGUGGGCGAAGUUCGUCCGCCGGACUCGGAAUGGCCCCAGACUUUGCGGGCGGCCUCCGUGUGCCAAAAAUAGGCCACGGGCACAGCCGCACCCAAAAAUCAGCCCCCGAAGGUCAGGGCGCCAAGACCCCCCUGCGGAAAAAUGUCCAAAAAACGGGUGGGCUAUAGCCUUGGUGGGGGGCGUGGGCGGAGUUCGUCUGCCGGAAUUGGAAUGGCCCCAGACUUUGCACACGGUCUCCGUGUGCCAAAAGAAGGCCACGGGCACAGCCGCGCCCAAAAAUCAACCCCCGAAAGUCCGGGCGCCAAGACCCCCCCGCGGAAAAAUGGCCAAAAAACGGGUGGGCUAUAGCCUUGGUGGGGGGCGUCGGCGAAGUUCGUCCGCCGGACUCGGAAUGGCCCCAGACUUUGCGGGCGUACUCCGUGUGCCAAAAAUAGGCCACGGGUAUAGCCGCGCCAAAAAAUCAGCCCCCGAAGGUCGGGGCGCCAAGACCCCCCAGCGGAAAAAUGGCCAAAAAACGGGUGGGCUAUAGCCUUGGUGGGGGGCGUGGGCGAAGUUCGUCCGCCGGACUCGGAAUGGCCCCAGACUUUGCGGGCGGCCUCCGUGUGCCAAAAAUAGGCCACGGGCACAGCCGCACCCAAAAAUCAGCACCCGAAAGUCGGCGGGCCAAGAACCCCCAGCGGAAAAAUGGCCAAAAAACGGGUGGGCUAUAGCUUUGGUGGGGGGCGUGGGCGAAGUUCGUCCGCCGGACUCGGAAUGGCCCCAUACUUUGCGGGCGGCCUCCGUGUGCAAAAACUAGGCCACGGGCACAGCCGCGCCCAAAAAUCAGCCCCCGAAAGUCCGGGCGCCAAGACCCCCCCGCGGAAAAAUGGCCAAAAAACGGGUGGGCUAUAGCCUUGGUGGGGGGCGUCGGCGAAGUUCGUCCGCCGGACUCGGAAUGGCCCCAGACUUUGUGGGCGUACUCCGUGUGCCAAAAAUAGGCCACGGAUACAGCCGCGCCCAAAAAUCAGCCCCCGAAGGUCGGGGCGCCAAGAUCCCCCAGCGGAAAAAUGGCCAAAAAACGGAUGGGCUAUAGCCUUCGUGGGGGGCGUGGGCGAAGUUCGUCCGCCGGACUCGGAAUGGCCCCAGACUUUGCGGGCGGCCUCCGUGUGCCAAAACUAGGCCACGGGCACAGCCGCGCCCAAAAAUCAGCCCCCGAAAGUCCGGGCGCCAAGACCCCCCCGCGGAAAAAUGGCCAAAAAACGGGUGGGCUAUAGCCUUGGUGGGGGGCGUCGGCGAAGUUCGUCCGCCGGACUCGGAAUGGCCCCAGACUUUGCGGGCGGACUCCGUGUGCCAAAAAUAGGCCACGGGUACAGCCGCGCCCAAAAAUCAGCCCCCGAAGGUCGGGGCGCCAAGACCCCCCAGCGGAAAAAUGGCCAGAAAACGGGUGGGCUAUAGCCUUGGUGGGGGGCGUGGGCGAAGUUCGUCCGCCGGACUCGGAAUGGCCCCAGACUUUGCGGGCGGCCUCCGUGUGCCAAAAAUAGGUCACGGGCACAGCCGCGCCCAAAAAUCAGCCCCCGAAGGUCGGGGCGCCAAGACCCCCCAGCGGAAAAAUGGCCAAAAAACGGGUGGGCUAUAGCCUUGGUGGGGGGCGUCGGCGAAGUUCGUCCCCCGGACUCGGAAUGGCCCCAGACUUUGCGGGCGGACUCCGUGUGCCAAAAAUAGGCCACGGGUACAGCCGCGCCCAAAAAUCAGCCCCCGAAGGUCGGGGCGCCAAGACCCCCCAGCGGAAAAAUGGCCAAAAAACGGGUGGGCUAUAGCCUUGGUGGGGGGCGUGGGCGAAGUUCGUCCGCCGGACUCGGAAUGGCCCCAGACUUUGCGGGCGGCCUCCGUGUGCCAAAAAUAGGCCACGGGCACAGCCGCACCCAAAAAUCAGCACCCGAAAGUCGGCGGGCCAAGAACCCCCAGCGGAAAAAUGGCCAAAAAACGGGUGGGCUAUAGCUUUGGUGGGGGGCGUGGGCGAAGUUCGUCCGCCGGACUCGGAAUGGCCCCAUACUUUGCGGGCGGCCUCCGUGUGCCAAAACUAGGCCACGGGCACAGCCGCGCCCAAAAAUCAGCCCCCGAAAGUCCGGGCGCCAAGACCCCCCCGCGGAAAAAUGGCCAAAAAACGGGUGGGCUAUAGCCUUGGUGGGGGGCGUCGGCGAAGUUCGUCCGCCGGACUCGGAAUGGCCCCAGACUUUGUGGGCGUACUCCGUGUGCCAAAAAUAGGCCACGGAUACAGCCGCGCCCAAAAAUCAGCCCCCGAAGGUCGGGGCGCCAAGACCCCCCUGCGGAAAAAUGGCCAAGAAACGGGUGGGCGAUAGCCUUGGUGGGGGGCGUCGGCGAAGUUCGUCCGCCGGAUCGGAAUGGCCCCAGACUUUGCGGGCGUACUCCGUGUGCCAAAAAUAGGCCACGGGUACAGCCGCGCCCAAAAAUCAGCCCCCGAAGGUCGGGGCGUCAAGACCCCCCAGCGGAAAAAUGGCCAAAAAACGGGUGGGCUAUAGCCUUGGUGGGUGGCGUGGGCGAAGUUCGUCCGCCGGACUCGGAAUGGCCCCAGACUUUGCGGGCGGCCUCCGUGUCCCAAAAAUAGGUCACGGGCACAGCCGCGCCCAAAAAUCAGCCCCCGAAGGUCGGGGCGCCAAGACCCCCCAGCGGAAAAAUGGCCAAAAAACGGGUGGGCUAUAGCCUUGGUGGGGGGCGUCGGCGAAGUUCGUCCCCCGGACUCGGAAUGGCCCCAGACUUUGCGGGCUGACUCCGUGUGCCAAAAAUAGGCCACGGGUACAGCCGCGCCCAAAAAUCAGCCCCCGAAGGUCGGGGCGCCAAGACCCCCCAGCGGAAAAAUGGCCAAAAAACGGGUGGGCUAUAGCCUUGGUGGGAGGCGUGGGCGAAGUUCGUCCGCCGGACUCGGAAUGGCCCCAGACUUUGUGGGCGGCCUACGUGUGCCAAAAAUAGUUCACGGGCACAGCUGCGCCCAAAAAUCAGCCCCCGAAGGUCGGGGCGCCAAGAUCCCCCAGCGGAAAAAUGGCCAAAAAACGGAUGGGCUAUAGCCUUCGUGGGGGGCGUGGGCGAAGUUCGUCCGCCGGACUCGGAAUGGCCCCAGACUUUGCGGGCGGCCUCCGUGUGCCAAAACUAGGCCACGGGCACAGCCGCGCCCAAAAAUCAGCCCCCGAAAGUCCGGGCGCCAAGACCCCCCCGCGGAAAAAUGGCCAAAAAACGGGUGGGCUAUAGCCUUGGUGGGGGGCGUCGGCGAAGUUCGUCCGCCGGACUCGGAAUGGCCCCAGACUUUGUGGGCGUACUCCGUGUGCCAAAAAUAGGCCACGGAUACAGCCGCGCCCAAAAAUCAGCCC
RNAcentral lists this long non-coding RNA (5732 nucleotides) under Citrus x clementina. RNAcentral describes it as "Citrus clementina (C. clementina) long non-coding RNA (CCLE_LNC001188)". Lineage: Eukaryota; Viridiplantae; Streptophyta; Magnoliopsida; Sapindales; Rutaceae. The record is from RNAcentral.